This 392-nucleotide long non-coding RNA is filed under the name Nicotiana tabacum (common tobacco). RNAcentral describes it as "long non-coding RNA (NTAB_LNC002720)". The record is from RNAcentral. Lineage: Eukaryota; Viridiplantae; Streptophyta; Magnoliopsida; Solanales; Solanaceae.
GACCCUUCAUCUGACGCCGGUGAGAAAGACGACGAACCUCCUCCUCCUCCUCCUCUAGGACCCGCCGGAGACCUCCCUGACCCUGAAGGUGCCGGCGGUGAAGGCGAAGAACCAGAUGGCGGAGAAGGUGGCGAAGGAGGAGACCCAGAUGGUGCUGGGGUUGAUUGUGUUGUUGGUGGCGCUGGGGUGUAGGAGGAAGGAGCAGAGGUGGAAGGUGGUGGAGGAGAGGCAGAGGCCGUGGGCGGCGGAGUGGUGGCCGGUGGCGUAGGGCUAGUAGGAGGAGGAGCUUGUGCAGGAAGAGCUGGUGGAGAGGCCGUCGCAGUUGGCGGAGGAGAAGUAGAGUUAGUAGGAGGCGCCAGAGGCGAUGUGGGAGCAGGGGAAGCUCCCGGCGU